Molecule: long non-coding RNA, 927 nt
Organism: Calliphora vicina (urban bluebottle blowfly)
Lineage: Eukaryota; Metazoa; Arthropoda; Insecta; Diptera; Calliphoridae
Exons: 6
Source: RefSeq, a predicted model, not a curated record
ACUUCAAAAAUCAAAAAGUUUCUGGAGUAUUGGAUCAGACUUUUAAAUAACUUGGCAAUAAACAAAAGCUGCCAUUUGGAACAAUUUCCAAAAAAAUAUUCAAAGACAUACAGUAUUGGGAAGUAACUAACCGACACCACCUACUAAAAACUGGCCUCUUCAAAAGAUCAAAAAGUUUCUGGAGUAUUGGAUCAGACUUUUAAAUAACUUGGCAAUAAACAAAAGCUGCCAUUUGGAACAAUUUCCAAAAAAAUAUUCAAAGACAUACAGUAUUGGGAAGUAACUAACCGACACCACCUACUAAAAACUGCCCACUUCAAAAGAUCAAAAAGUUUCUGGAGUAUUGGAUCAGACUUUUAAAUAACUUGGCAAUAAACAAAAGCUGCCAUUUGGAACAAUUUCCAAAAAAAUAUUCAAAGACAUACAGUAUUGGGAAGUAACUAACCGACACCACCUACUAAAAAUUGUUCACUUACGAAGAGACAAACAUUUUUAUUUCAUAAUCGAGCAGAAUAUUUUUCGGAUUAAAUUGCAAUAGAGAAAAACUACAAUUUGGAAUAGAGAAAAACUACAAUUUGGAAUAGUUGGAAAGUUACACACCGCCACCACCCCAUAAAAACUGCCCACUUCAAAAGAUCAAAAAGUUUCUGGAGUAUUGGAUCAGACUUUUAAAUAACUUGGCAAUAAACAAAAGCUGCCAUUUGGAACAAUUUCCAAAAAAAUAUUCAAAGACAUACAGUAUUGGGAAGUAACUAACCGACACCACCUACUAAAAACUGCCCACUUCAAAAGAUCAAAAAGUUUCUGGAGUAUUGGAUCAGACUUUUAAAUAACUUGGCAAUAAACAAAAGCUGCCAUUUGGAACAAUUUCCAAAAAAAUAUUCAAAGACAUACAGUAUUGGGAAGUAACUAACCGACACCACCUAC